AGGGAAUCUUCGGCAAUGGACGCAAGUCUGACCGAGCAACGCCGCGUGAGUGAUGAAGGCCUUCGGGUUGUAAAGCUCUGUCUUCAGGGACGAUAAUGACGGUACCUGAGGAGGAAGCCACGGCUAACUACGUGCCAGCAGCCGCGGUAAUACGUAGGUGGCAAGCGUUGUCCGGAUUUACUGGGCGUAAAGGGAGCGUAGGCGGAUACUUAAGUGGGAUGUGAAAUACCUGGGCUUAACUUGGGUGCUGCAUUCCAAACUGGGUGUCUAGAGUGUUGGAGAGGAAAGUGGAAUUCCUAGUGUAGCGGUGAAAUGCGUAGAGAUUAGGAAGAACACCAGUGGCGAAGGCGACUUUCUGGACAAUAACUGACGCUGAGGCUCGAAAGCGUGGGGAGCAAAC
RNAcentral lists this ribosomal RNA (400 nucleotides) under uncultured bacterium. RNAcentral describes it as "bacterial SSU rRNA". It matches the Rfam family "Bacterial small subunit ribosomal RNA", at positions 356 to 773 of the family's 1533-position model. The record is from RNAcentral.